CAUGGUUCAAAUCCGAUUGUGCCCU
This 25-nucleotide transfer RNA is filed under the name Entamoeba moshkovskii. RNAcentral's name for it is "tRNA-Cys". Lineage: Eukaryota; Evosea; Mastigamoebida; Endamoebidae. The record is from RNAcentral.